Molecule: ribosomal RNA, 404 nt
Filed under: uncultured Alphaproteobacteria bacterium
Lineage: Bacteria; Pseudomonadati; Pseudomonadota; Alphaproteobacteria
Description: bacterial SSU rRNA
Rfam family: Bacterial small subunit ribosomal RNA
Source: RNAcentral
AGGCCUAACACAUGCAAGUCGAUCGCUCUUUUCGGAGAGAGAGGCGCACGGGUGAGUAACACGUGGGAAUAUACCCUUGAGUGCGGAAUAACUAUUGGAAACGAUAGCUAAUACCGCAUACGCCCUACGGGGGAAAGAUUUAUCGCUCAAGGAUUAGCCCGCGUCUGAUUAGCUAGUUGGUGAGGUAACGGCUCACCAAGGCGACGAUCAGUAGCUGGUUUGAGAGAAUGAUCAGCCACACUGGGACUGAGACACGGCCCAGACUCCUACGGGAGGCAGCAGUGGGGAAUAUUGGACAAUGGGGGCAACCCUGAUCCAGCCAUGCCGCGUGAGUGAAGAAGGCCUUCGGGUUGCAAAGCUCUUUCAGACGUGAAGAUGAUGACGGUAACGUCAGAAGAAGCCCC